Molecule: long non-coding RNA, 2784 nt
Organism: Bombus terrestris (buff-tailed bumblebee)
Lineage: Eukaryota; Metazoa; Arthropoda; Insecta; Hymenoptera; Apidae
Exons: 2
Source: RefSeq, a predicted model, not a curated record
UUCUUUCCGUUGUUUAUUUUCCUUUGCUUGAGUUCCUCCAUGAUGCGGUUGAGCCUUUUGUUACGUUAAGGAUAACGUGAUUAGCAGAUUGCACCUAUUUAUGCGAAUUCAUAUUUUUAUGAAUACGAUUAGAGAAACGAGAUACAAGAACAUUUUGUCUAGUAAAGAAUAUAACGAAUAUUCUAAUUUGAAUACUUUAUACUCAUUUUGCACAUCAUACUCAUUUUGUGUAUUUCAGUACCUUCAAAUUUCUUAUCAAUGCAUAAAAAUCUGCAGCCUAGCGAUCAACUUAGAUCAUUCUAUAGUAAAUCGAUUGAUAUUUUUUGUAUCGUACAAGAUGGUUCAGAAGGAAGUUUAAAUCUUACCUACGUACGAUACCGUGCACAAGUAUUUGGACAGCUGUCGCAAUUCGCUUAAAGAUUGAUAUUUUUUUAUAUUUCGAAAAAUAUGAUUGAAGAACGCUUCUUUACUGUUAUUACCUGUUAUAAGUAGGGUCAAAUUCCCUGAAAAAUUCAAAUUAAAACAAGACAUAUAUCUACAUCACUCAGGAAUCCCGUUUAUUACUAAUAAAUAUCUAACACUUCAUAAAAUCUAUAUAAACUUUUAGAAUGUAGCUGGAAACAUAUAGUUGUUCCAAUCGCGAUAACACACCAACAUUGAAUGAUUAUUAAUCUCUGUAGGACUAGUAUUCAUUCACCUUCGAUUAUUGCUCUUUUAAUUCUACUAACUAAUAUCAAUUAUUGCUAUUUAUUUAUAAUUAUUGCUAAUUAUUUGUCAAUAUCUAUUAACAAUAUGUAUAUGGUUGCCUGAGAUAAGAUCGAAAGCAAAAAUUAGAUUAAAAUGUUUCAUUUAAAACAUAUUUUAUAUAUCUGUAAUAAUUUAGAAGUACGGUUUCAUGUAACAUUUAAAUUAAAUUAUCAAGGAAACGAUUAAUCAGAAUUUUGUAUUCAUGAAACAGAUUGUGAUUCAAUAUUGGAAAAUGUUCUUAAAACCAUUUGCAAGAGUUAUAUUAUUAUAAUAAAUCAUAAUAAUUAUGAAAUCCUUCUGGAAGGACAAGCAAGAGUUAGAAUAAACAAAGGGGUCCAAAGAUAACCUGUUGAUGUUGAAUACCAAAAAAGCACUUCAACUAAAAGGAAGAAAUGGGAAAUUACUAGCAGCAUUCAUAGAUUUUCCAAAAUUCUCAAAGCCGUUUUGCAUGAAACUGAGUUCGUAAUUUUCUCUCGAAUAUGGAUUUUCUAGUUUAGUUUGUUGUCCAAAUGAAGACUAAGAGGACCGACAAAAACAUUGAAACCUGGCCAAUUUUUAAUAUAUUAAAGAUCUAACGAAGCCUAACUGUGAAGAAUACCCAAAAUUGAAGACCCAAAGGGUAUAUAGCAGAAUUAUAGCUCAAGUAAGAUUGUCCACGAGGCAUGAGAUGUGGAUUGACUAUGAUAAUGGAAGUACGUUAAAAUUAAAUGACUGAGCUUUGCCGACUUUGUAAUAUGGACAAAGUAGAAAAUUUGAAUCAUCUUUUAAGUGUAUGCCCACAGCUCAAUAGAGCGAGGGGAGAAGAAUGGAAUUUUCCACAAAUGCUGAUUUUAAGAAACAUCCAGUAAGCAAAAGAGUUCGUGUACUUUAUCCAGGCAUUAAUGAAGAUAAUAGGGUUGGAAUCGUACAUUAAUCGUGUAACUAUCAUUUUGUUGAAACUAAGAUUCAAGGAUAAAUUUAUACUGUAUUAAAUAUAUAGAAAUUUAUUAUUAUAAUAUAAAUUAGAUUAGAUUAGAUUAAGAAAAUAGUAUUAAUUGUUAUGCAAAUAUCUAUCGAUGCAGGUAUAUAAGCAUAAACUAUAUAAUAUAUGCCAAACAAAUUUCUUGCAAUAGGCAUGUAGUCUAAUGAACGAUAAAUUUACUAUUAUUAUUAUUUAUUAUUAUUAUAUUUAUUUUCUCUAAUCUAAAUUCUAUUGAAAAAAUUCAAGGUCAUUUAUUAUUAAUUUUCGAUAAGAAGUAUAAAUCUAAAAAUUAAUAAUUUCUCGAUUGCAUUACAUUCAUUGUCCUUUCGAGGAUAUUGUCGAACACCUUUUUAAUAAAUUUAUUUUCCAUUUUCUACCAUUCUACUUAGAAAAACUUAAUUUCAAAAGCUAUUUAUUUUUUUGACACUUGUUCUUUUUAUGGCUCAUUUCGAACAAUUCCAUAUAUGUUCUGUAAGGUUUGUAUCAAGUUUAUAUUGAUUACAUUUCUAAAAAUUUAUUGAACUUAGGAAUGACUUGACACUAAGAAGAGGGUGUUUAAAUAUUCGUUUUUGUAUAACAGCCUGUGAAGACGAUUGCAAAGAUUAUGUUUGAUUAACAUUAUAAGAUCAGCAAUGUACAUGUAGCCUAAUCGUAAGACUUCUGCACAGUAUUAUAUUUAUGAAGUGAAACUAAUUAAAAAAGUUUUCAGUUUCAUUCAAUACAAAUACAGUAUCAAACAAAAGUAUCUUCGUAUAAAAUUCUUUGCAGAUCUGCAAAAAAUGUGAUUCUUUAUUUAAUGUUUUUGCAAAAUACAACUAUCGACUCUAAAGUUUAACUAUACUAUGAAUUAUGAAAUUUAAAGAUAGUUAUAAUAAAGAAAAUAGAUAAAAUACUCAUAGUCCGUUUUCAACGGAAUAAAAGCAUUGGCACACUUAAAAAAUUUGUUAUUACGUGUAUUCUACCUUCUAAAUAUUCUAAAUAUCCUUUUCUAAAUAUUCCCAAUUUUGUCACAUCUGUUAUCUCGCGGGAAGUUUCACCAUUCAAACUGAUUGUCAUUUUUUUAGUUAGUAAGAUUG